This is a transfer RNA of Kockovaella imperatae, 88 nucleotides long. It matches the Rfam family "tRNA". Rfam says of the family: Transfer RNA (tRNA) molecules are approximately 80 nucleotides in length. Their secondary structure includes four short double-helical elements and three loops (D, anti-codon, and T loops). The record is from Rfam. Lineage: Eukaryota; Fungi; Basidiomycota; Tremellomycetes; Tremellales; Cuniculitremaceae.
GCCCGUAUAGCACAGUGGUAGUGCGUUGCACUUGUAGAUCAUUCAAUCUGACAUGCAAAGGUCCUCCGAUCAAACCGGAGUGCGGGCA